UAAAAAGCUCGUAGUUGGAUUUCUGGUGGGAGCACGGGUCGGCCUUCACGGGUUGUACUGUUGUUGCGUCCUGCCGUUUCGGAAGGAAUGGUCAUGUUAUUAGGUUAGCGUGAUCGGAAACUCUGUCGUUUACUGUGAAAAAAUUAGAGUGUUCAAAGCAGGCCUUCGCUGUGAAUACAUUAGCAUGGAAUAAUGGAAUAGGACGCUGGUUCUAUUUUGUUGGUUUUGAGAACCAGAGUAAUGAUUAAUAGGGACAGUUGGGGGCAUUCAUAUUUCAUUGUCAGAGGUGAAAUUCUUGGAUUUAUGAAAGAUGAACUUCUGCGAAAGCAUUUGCCAAGGAUGUUUUCAUUAAUCAAGAACGAAAGUUAGGGGAUCGAAGACGAUCAGAUACCGUCGUAGUCUUAACCAUAAACUAUGCCGACUAGGGAUUGGGCGUGGUUUGUUCAUUGACCCGCUCAGCACCUUACGAGAAAUCAAAGUCUUUGGGUUCCGGGGGGAGUAUGGUCGCAAGGCUGAAACUUAAAGGAAUUGACGGAGGGGCACCACCAGGAGUGGAGCCUGCGGCUUAAUUUGACUCAACACGGGAAAACUCACCAGGUCCAGACAUA
RNAcentral lists this ribosomal RNA (608 nucleotides) under uncultured marine picoplankton. RNAcentral describes it as "bacterial SSU rRNA". It matches the Rfam family "Eukaryotic small subunit ribosomal RNA", at positions 620 to 1232 of the family's 1831-position model. The record is from RNAcentral.